Molecule: ribosomal RNA, 447 nt
Filed under: uncultured bacterium
Lineage: Bacteria
Description: partial 16S ribosomal RNA
Rfam family: Bacterial small subunit ribosomal RNA
Source: RNAcentral
AACGAACGCUGGCGGCAGGCUUAACACAUGCAAGUCGAACGCCCCGCAAGGGGAGUGGCAGACGGGUGAGUAACGCGUGGGAACCUUCCCUAUAGUACGGAAUAUACCAGGGAAACUUGGAGCAAUACCGUAUACGCCCUUCGGGGGAAAGAUUUAUCGCUAUAGGAUGGGCCCGCGUAGGAUUAGCUAGUUGGUGAGGUAAUGGCUCACCAAGGCGACGAUCCUUAGCUGGUUUGAGAGAAUGACCAGCCACACUGGGACUGAGACACGGCCCAGACUCCUACGGGAGGCAGCAGUGGGGAAUAUUGGACAAUGGGCGCAAGCCUGAUCCAGCCAUGCCGCGUGAGUGAUGAAGGCCUUAGGGUUGUAAAGCUCUUUUAGCAGGGAAGAUAAUGACUGUACCUGCAGAAUAAGCUUCGGCUAACUUCGUGCCAGCAGCCGCCGUAA